AGCAGCCGCGGUAAUUCCAGCUCCAAUAGCGUAUAUUAAAGUUGUUGCAGUUAAAAAGCUCGUAGUUGAAUUUCGGGAUUGACACAUCGGUCGUGCCUUAAGGGGUAUGAACUGGUGUAGUCAGUUUCUCACCUUCUGGAGAACCGCGAUGUCCUUAAUUGGGUGCCGCGAGGAACCAGGACCUUUACUUUGAAAAAAAUUAGAGUGUUUAAAGCAGGCAUUUUGCUUGAAUACAUUAGCAUGGAAUAAUAAAAUAGGACGGAUGGUUCUAUUUUGUUGGUUUCUAGGAUCACCGUUAAUGAUUAAUAGGGAUAGUUGGGGGCAUUAGUAUUCAAUUGUCAGAGGUGAAAUUCUUGGAUUUAUUGAAGACUAACUACUGCGAAAGCAUUUGCCAAGGAUGUUUUCAUUAAUCAAGAACGAAAGUUAGGGGAUCGAAGACGAUCAGAUACCGUCGUAGUCUUAACCAUAAACUAUGCCGACUAGGAAUCAGACGAUGUUAAUUUUUAAUGACUCGUUUGGC
RNAcentral lists this ribosomal RNA (520 nucleotides) under uncultured Entrophospora. Its description in RNAcentral is "SSU rRNA". It matches the Rfam family "Eukaryotic small subunit ribosomal RNA", at positions 569 to 1084 of the family's 1831-position model. The record is from RNAcentral. Lineage: Eukaryota; Fungi; Glomeromycota; Glomeromycetes; Entrophosporales; Entrophosporaceae.